UACGGAGGGUGCAAGCGUUAAUCGGAAUUACUGGGCGUAAAGCGCACGCAGGUGGCUGAGUCAGUCGGUUGUGAAAGCCCUGGGCUUAACCUGGGAAUUGCAGUCGAUACUACUCAGCUAGAGUAUGGGAGAGGGCAGUGGAAUUCCCGGUGUAGCGGUGAAAUGCGUAGAUAUCGGGAGGAACAUCAGUGGCGAAGGCGGCUGCCUGGCCCAAUACUGACACUCAGGUGCGAAAGCGUGGGGAGCAAACAGG
Molecule: ribosomal RNA, 253 nt
Filed under: uncultured bacterium
Lineage: Bacteria
Description: partial 16S ribosomal RNA
Rfam family: Bacterial small subunit ribosomal RNA
Source: RNAcentral